This 253-nucleotide ribosomal RNA is filed under the name uncultured bacterium. Its description in RNAcentral is "partial 16S ribosomal RNA". It matches the Rfam family "Bacterial small subunit ribosomal RNA", at positions 524 to 776 of the family's 1533-position model. The record is from RNAcentral.
GACGUAGGAGGCGAGCGUUGUCCGGAUUCAUUGGGCGUAAAGAGCUCGUAGGCGGUUUGUCGCGUCUGCUGUGAAAACCUAAGGCUCAACCUUGGGCUUGCAGUGGGUACGGGCAGACUAGAGUGCGGUAGGGGUGACUGGAAUUCCUGGUGUAGCGGUGGAAUGCGCAGAUAUCAGGAGGAACACCGAUGGCGAAGGCGGUUCUCUGGGACGGUACUGACGCUGAGACGCGAAAGCGUGGGGAGCGAACAGG